RNAcentral lists this ribosomal RNA (490 nucleotides) under uncultured bacterium. Its description in RNAcentral is "partial 16S ribosomal RNA". It matches the Rfam family "Bacterial small subunit ribosomal RNA", at positions 29 to 505 of the family's 1533-position model. The record is from RNAcentral.
AGUGAACGCUGGCGGUAGGCCUAACACAUGCAAGUCGAACGGCAGCACAGUAAGAGCUUGCUCUUACGGGUGGCGAGUGGCGGACGGGUGAGGAAUACAUCGGAAUCUACUUUUUCGUGGGGGAUAACGUAGGGAAACUUACGCUAAUACCGCAUACGACCUACGGGUGAAAGCAGGGGAUCUUCGGACCUUGCGCGAUUGAAUGAGCCGAUGUCGGAUUAGCUAGUUGGCGGGGUAAAGGCCCACCAAGGCGACGAUCCGUAGCUGGUCUGAGAGGAUGAUCAGCCACACUGGAGCUGAGACACGGUCCAGACUCCUACGGGAGGCAGCAGUGGGGAAUAUUGGACAAUGGGCGCAAGCCUGAUCCAGCCAUACCGCGUGGGUGAAGAAGGCCUUCGGGUUGUAAAGCCCUUUUGUUGGGAAAGAAAAGCAGCAGGUUAAUACCCCGCUGUUCUGACGGUACCCAAAGAAUAAGCACCGGCUAACUUCG